This 781-nucleotide long non-coding RNA is filed under the name Lactuca sativa (garden lettuce). Its description in RNAcentral is "long non-coding RNA (LSAT_LNC005778)". The record is from RNAcentral. Lineage: Eukaryota; Viridiplantae; Streptophyta; Magnoliopsida; Asterales; Asteraceae.
AAGGUCCGUUUGUCGCAGAGUUCGGAUUCGGAUCGAUCCCGAUUCGGCUUUGUUUGACAAGUCACACGAUACAAAUCUCUCUGUUACUGUUACUGUUACUAUGGUUUUCUUGAUCUGUUACUAUUUGUGUUACUUUUACUGAUAUCUAAAGCGGUACGUUCAUCCUCUUCUGUUAUAAGAGACGACGAUCGAUCGAUUUUAUGAUGCAGUUUCAGUUUGUUGAAUACGAAUUAUUGGUUUCGGAUCCUGAUUGUGUAUUUUUUUUUGGUAUUGUUUAGAUCAUCAACGAUCGGGAGACUGGCAGAUCUAGGGGAUUUGGAUUCGUUACCUUCAAGGAGGAACAAGCUUUGAGAGACGCGAUCGAAGGGAUGAACGGCCAGAGCCUUGACGGACGUAACAUAACCGUCAACGAGGCUCAGUCCCGCAGUGGAGGCGGCGGCGGUGGCGGUGGAUUCCGCAGCGGUGGAGGAGGUGGCCGUCGUGAAGGCGGAUACGGUGGAGGUGGUGGUUAUGGUGGCCGCCGUGAAGGAGGCGGUGGAUAUGGAGGAGGACGUGACCGUGGAUACGGCGGUGGUGAUGGUGGAGCCCGUUACUCCAGGGGAGGCGGUGAUUCCGAAGGAAACUGGAGAAAUUAGAUUAGAUAUUCAUUUGUAGACUAUCGGGAUCUGGUUUGGUAUUUUCAAUUUUCGCACUGUUGUUGUGUUCUGUUUUUGACCUGUUCUUAGUUACCCUGCGUUUUUAUCGAUUGCUUUGAGAAAGCACAAGUUAUAAUGAAAAAAAU